UGUGAACGUUACCAAACUGUUGCCUCGGCGGGAUCUCUGCCCCGGGUGCGUCGCAGCCCCGGACCAAGGCGCCCGCCGGAGGACCAACCAAAACUCUUAUUGUAUACCCCCUCGCGGGUUUUUUUAUAAUCUGAGCCUUCUCGGCGCCUCUCGUAGGCGUUUCGAAAAUGAAUCAAAACUUUCAACAACGGAUCUCUUGGUUCUGGCAUCGAUGAAGAACGCAGCGAAAUGCGAUAAGUAAUGUGAAUUGCAGAAUUCAGUGAAUCAUCGAAUCUUUGAACGCACAUUGCGCCCGCCAGUAUUCUGGCGGGCAUGCCUGUCCGAGCGUCAUUUCAACCCUCGAACCCCUCCGGGGGGUCGGCGUUGGGGAUCGGCCCUGCCUUGGCGGUGGCCGUCUCCGAAAUACAGUGGCGGUCUCGCCGCAGCCUCUCCUGCGCAGUAGUUUGCACACUCGCAUCGGGAGCGCGGCGCGUCCACAGCCGUUAAACACCCAACUUCUGAAAUGUUGACCUCGGAUCAGGUAGGAAUACCCGCUGAACUUAAGCAUAUCAAUAAGCGGAGGAAAAGAAACCAACAGGGAUUGCCCCAGUAACGGCGAGUGAAGCGGCAACAGCUCAAAUUUGAAAUCUGGUCCCUAGGGCCCGAGUUGUAAUUUGUAGAGGAUGCUUUUGGUGAGGUGCCGCCCGAGUUCCCUGGAACGGGACGCCACAGAGGGUGAGAGCCCCGUCUGGCUGGCCGCCGAGCCUCUGUAAAGCUCCUUCGACGAGUCGAGUAGUUUGGGAAUGCUGCUCAAAAUGGGAGGUAUAUGUCUUCUAAAGCUAAAUAUUGGCCAGAGACCGAUAGCGCACAAGUAGAGUGAUCGAAAGAUGAAAAGCACCUUGAAAAGAGGGUUAAAUAGUACGUGAAAUUGUUGAAAGGGAAGCGCUUGUGACCAGACUUGGGCGCGGCGGAUCAUCCGGGGUUCUCUCCGGUGCACUUCGCCGCGUCUAGGCCAGCAUCAGUUCGUCGCGGGGGAAAAAGGCUUCGGGAACGUGGCUCCUCCCGGGAGUGUUAAAGCCCGUUGCUUAAUACCCUGCGGUGGACUGAGGACCGCCAUCUGC
Molecule: small RNA, 1100 nt
Filed under: Trichoderma harzianum
Lineage: Eukaryota; Fungi; Ascomycota; Sordariomycetes; Hypocreales; Hypocreaceae
Description: eukaryotic LSU rRNA
Rfam family: Eukaryotic large subunit ribosomal RNA (bases 507-1100)
Source: RNAcentral